GUAAUUACAAGCUUGCCUCCAUCUGAUGAAGGGCUUCGUUUGAACUAUUAUCACCUUGAGGAUCAACUUGCACUUCUUGCAAAGCUAGAAGAAGAUACAGAUGAAAUAGCUCUUCAUGGUGCCCGUCGUUCUCAAACAUCAAUGAGCACCUUGUCAGGUGCAAAAGGGAUAGCUUACAUGGAGUACAGUACUGGGCGUAACACCGGCCAAGCACAGAUAAAAAAUAAGCCAAAGGAUCCAUCAAAGAGACAUUUGUUAUUUCGAAAACGAUAUAGUUCAAACUGAAGCAAGCAGGGCUGGCUAAUCAGAUUGUUGCUCUAGAAAGUAGGUGAAGUGGUUCGCAGACACCAAUCAACCAUGUAAGAAAACACAAGAGAUGUACAGGGCAGAGAACAGUGGAAAUCACUAAUCAUGUCACUGUCAGAUAUUUGGUAAGAGGCCCACAAGAAGCACACUAGAGAGAGAAAACGAAUUGAUGGUUGCCUUUUGUGUGGAUACUUUAGAUGUUGGUGAAGGAACCUCUUGUCCUUGCAAAGACCUAAUAAGGAGAUCUAGCAUUUGACUACUUUUGGGACAUUCUCUUUGCUUUUGGCUUAUGUGCAAAUUGUAUUUGAUCAUGAAUCCCAUUCCAAGAUAAAGAGCUUCUACUCAUUACACCAUGCUCGUGUGAAAGAAAAGUCAGCUAACCUACCUCAGCAAUCGUUAAAACACUUCAUCUUUUCUCACCGGCAUAUGAUUGACUUUCACAAAUUCAAAGCCUUCAAGGCAAACAUUAGACAUUACACACAUGCAUUUGUCACCAUUAAUGUCUAUUAAAGGGAAAAUAAAACUCAUUAAGGGAAGAAAAAAGAAGAAAGAAGUAACACUUUGUGGAAGCAAUAACUCCCAUUCUUAGGCAUAGUCUGAGUGUGAUGAAGUUGAGCCACUUUUGGUGACCAUCUUGUGCUCAUGGGAUUCCCCACUGAAGCUAAAAGGUGCAUUUCCAGUCUUACCCCUGACAAAAGUUCCAUCGACAUUAACAUAUUAACAUGAGCUCUUUUCUUGUCUGCCAGAUCACAUAUAUUUUAUGUAACUUGGCUUGUCCACUAAGGGCUCACACAAUGGCAUUCGUGCGAAGAAAACAAUAAAAUAUCGAUUUUGUGUUUGAUUAUCGUCAAUCAAAUCGCUAGAAAUAUAUUCUAUCGAACAAUGGAACCUUCGAUGUACCAAUCAUAAGCCUUUUGUUGGACUAAAGAAAAGGUCUAACCCUGUCCCUGUUGGACAACUUUCUUAAGCACUUAUUAUUUCCCCCUAUAUCUCACGGGAAUGAAAUUCGUUCUCCGUUGUCUGUAAAUACGGCUAGGCAAAUCAUCUAAUAAUCUAUAGCACUGCAAUG
Arachis duranensis is the source of this 1375-nucleotide long non-coding RNA. RefSeq lists it as uncharacterized. The transcript is spliced from 5 exons. Lineage: Eukaryota; Viridiplantae; Streptophyta; Magnoliopsida; Fabales; Fabaceae. The record is from RefSeq and is a predicted model, not a curated record.